AGGGUCAUUGCGGUAGAGCUAGC
RNAcentral lists this non-coding RNA (23 nucleotides) under Cricetulus griseus (Chinese hamster). Lineage: Eukaryota; Metazoa; Chordata; Mammalia; Rodentia; Cricetidae. The record is from RNAcentral.